This 1020-nucleotide ribosomal RNA is filed under the name uncultured bacterium. RNAcentral describes it as "bacterial SSU rRNA". It matches the Rfam family "Bacterial small subunit ribosomal RNA", at positions 355 to 1375 of the family's 1533-position model. The record is from RNAcentral.
UGAGGAAUAUUGGUCAAUGGGCGAGAGCCUGAACCAGCCAAGCCGCGUGAGGGAAGAAGGCGCUCAGCGUCGUAAACCUCUUUAGCCGGGGGACAAAACCUCCUCGUGAAGGAGGCUUGAGAGUACCCGGAGAAUAAGCAUCGGCUAACUCCGUGCCAGCAGCCGCGGUAAUACGGAGGAUGCGAGCGUUAUCCGGAUUUAUUGGGUUUAAAGGGUGCGCAGGCGGACAUUCAAGUCUGCGGUCAAAUUCCGGGGCUCAACCCCGGCCAGCCGUGGAAACUGAAUGACUUGAGUGGGCGAGAGGUAUGCGGAAUGCGCGGUGUAGCGGUGAAAUGCUUAGAGAUCGCGCAGAACUCCGAUUGCGAAGGCAGCAUACCGGCGCCUUACUGACGCUCAGGCACGAAAGCGUGGGGAUCGAACAGGAUUAGAUACCCUGGUAGUCCACGCAGUAAACGAUGAAUGCUGGUUGUUCGGGCCGACUGAGGCCUGAGUAACGUAGUGAAAACGUUAAGCAUUCCACCUGGGGAGUACGCCGGCAACGGUGAAACUCAAAGGAAUUGACGGGGGCCCGCACAAGCGGAGGAACAUGUGGUUUAAUUCGAUGAUACGCGAGGAACCUUACCCGGGCUCAAACGGGAGCGGACGUGCGGAGAAAUCCGCAUUUCUUCGGACCGCUUCCGAGGUGCUGCAUGGUUGUCGUCAGCUCGUGCCGUGAGGUGUCGGCUUAAGUGCCAUAACGAGCGCAACCCCUGCGGACAGUUGCCAUCAGGUAGAGCUGGGCACUCUGUCCGGACUGCCGGCGCAAGCCGUGAGGAAGGCGGGGAUGACGUCAAAUCAGCACGGCCCUUACGUCCGGGGCGACACACGUGUUACAAUGGCUGUAACAAAGAGAAGCAGAGCCGUAAGGCCGAGCGGAUCUCAAAAAAGCAGUCUCAGUUCGGAUUGUGGGCUGCAACCCGCCCACAUGAAGUUGGAGUUGCUAGUAAUCGCGGAUCAGCAUGCCGCGGUGAAUACGUUCCC